This 73-nucleotide transfer RNA is filed under the name Deltaproteobacteria bacterium. Its description in RNAcentral is "tRNA-Lys". It matches the Rfam family "tRNA". From Rfam's summary of the family: Transfer RNA (tRNA) molecules are approximately 80 nucleotides in length. RNAcentral also lists the same sequence under 1 other name. Lineage: Bacteria; Pseudomonadati; Myxococcota; Myxococcia. The record is from RNAcentral.
GGGCCGUUAGCUCAGGUGGUAGAGCAGCUGCCUUUUAAGCAGCGGGUCGGAGGUUCGAGUCCUCCACGGCUCA